GAUGAAGAACGCAGCGAAAUGCGAUAAGUAAUGUGAAUUGCAGAAUUCAGUGAAUCAUCGAAUCUUUGAACGCACAUUGCGCCCGCCAGUAUUCUGGCGGGCAUGCCUGUCCGAGCGUCAUUUCAACCAUCAAGCCCCCGGGCUUGUGUUGGGGACCUGCGGCUGCCCGCAGGCCCUGAAAACCAGUGGCGGGCUCGCUGUCACACCGAGCGUAGUAGCAAUCACCUCGCUCAGGGCGUGUGGCGGGUUCCAGCCGUGAAACCCCCUACUUCUCAAGGUUGACCUCGGAUCAGGUAGGAAUACCCGCUGAACUUAAGCAUAUCAAUAAGCGGAGGA
This 336-nucleotide unclassified non-coding RNA is filed under the name soil metagenome. Its description in RNAcentral is "partial contains 5.8S ribosomal RNA, internal transcribed spacer 2, and large subunit ribosomal RNA". The stretch from base 1 to 120 matches the Rfam family "5.8S ribosomal RNA", at positions 35 to 154 of the family's 154-position model. The record is from RNAcentral.